Molecule: long non-coding RNA, 25476 nt
Filed under: Brachypodium distachyon (stiff brome)
Lineage: Eukaryota; Viridiplantae; Streptophyta; Magnoliopsida; Poales; Poaceae
Description: long non-coding RNA (BDIS_LNC003394)
Source: RNAcentral
ACCGGUAAAUUAUCAUAAUCAGAAUUUGUCGACGAAUUUGAUAUUCUUUUACAAAAUAUACUUAUCUUAAUAUGUAUAACCGGAGUUUAUAUUACAUGCCCCUCUCCCAACGAUAGUUGUAGUACUCUUAUAAUAGUAGUACUCAUGAAUACAGUUAAUCCGGGUUGUUGGGAGAGAUCACAUGCAUAAAUACAACAUGAAACAAACGUGUGAAAAAGGUACAUAAAAUCGGUGUGACCCGUUCUUGUAUUAUAAGAAAUCAACUUGCUUAGGCCUUGCCGGACUCCUCACAACCCGGUGGCUUGAAGGCGAUGAAGCUGAUGCACUGCACUUGCCUGGUGUUGUCGAAGCCGAUGAUGCGGACAUAGGCGUCAGGGUACUCCUUCUUCACCUCCUCCAGCUCCUUUAGCACCUGCGUGGCGUCGGUGCACCCGAACAUGGGAAGCUUCCACAUUGUCCAGUACCUGCCGUCGUAGUACCCGGGAGAGUUGCCGUGCUCACGGAAGACGAAACCGACCUUGCUGAACUCGAGGCAAGGAACCCACUUGGAGCGGAUGAGAUACUCGAUCUGCUUCAAGAGGGACUCCACGGUGAGAGGCGGCAGGUAGGAAAGGGUUUCGAACUUCUUGAUGCCCUCAAUUGGCCACACCUACAAUUAGAUUAAUAAUUAGCACCGAAAGUAUAAUUUGAGACACAUAUCAGUAUUUCACUUCAACAUAUGUACAUGAUGACAUACAUACCUGCAUGCACCUGAUCCUUCCACCGUUGGAGACGCUGCCGAGACCAGCGCUGGCUGAGCGGCGGCCGAUGGGGAGCCCGGCGGUGGACUUGAGGCCCUGGAAAGGAGCAACGGCAGUAGCCGCUGACGACAUCACUGUGGGAGCCAUCGUACACGUACGUAGAUAGCUAACAAGAGGAGGCAGGCUUGCUUGAGUGCUCUCUAGCUACAGCGGCUUAUAUAACUGUAGGCUCCCCACCCAUCCAAUAUCAGCACAAGAUCUAGGAGGGGUGGCUGCAGUUCGCCGCGCGGAUUUGCCCAGGCCACGCUGGCAUCCUACGGAUCAGGUCGGGCGCCACAUGGCCGCACGAAAUGGCGCGCGUUAUCCUCUGGACGGAUACAAUUGGCUGCAACGCACUCUGCAAAUCAUGCCAUGAAGUGACCAAUUUUCACCUAUCAGGAUAGAUCCAAUGUGCCACGGCAUGCACUCAAAAACAGAACUUGCUAAUCCCUCCAAUCCAUAAAAAAUCUCGCCCACUUAUUAGAAAAUUUGUAAUGAGUUAAUGCAAAAUGAGCAGCACUUUUUAUGAACUAGAGGAACAACAAAUUAAGAGAAACUCUUCUAAGAUCUUAUCGAGAACGAAGCUUGCCCCCGCGUCGCUCAGUCUGGGGCGACACGGGCGGCAACCACACCAGCCCCGGCAGCAGCCUCUCCCCGUCCUCUCCUCCCCCUCGCCGCCGCCGGGCAAAGCCCGCACGGGGACGGCGGCGGCGGGGCUGUUUUUCUUGGCGGGGGUGUCCUAGAGCUCUUGGCUGAGGCGUUUGAGGUGCUGCCUCAUCGUGGUCGCGGCGUCUCCGGCCCGAUCCGGCAGGCUAUGCCUCGUCUUCGGCUAGAUCCGGCCGGCUUCCUCCCGGAUCCGGUGUUUCCCCUCGUUCUUCCUCUCCCUGGUGCUCGGUCUGCUCGUGGCUGCGCGGCUUCACGGCGGCGCUCUUCGGCCGGAUCUAGCUACUCGUUGGCCAGAUCCGUCAUCUCCUCCGGCUGAUCCGGCAUGUCCCAGGUCUCUUCGUUUCCAUCAUUUUUCCUCUCAGUUUGGUGAGGCGGCUGAUUGAACUUCACCGGCGGCAGAUGGGCUGCUGCUGCGGCCAUACAUGGUCCAAGUCGGUCCUUUUCGAUGCCAUGGUGGCGUGGUUUUCAUUUUCGGUCGCGUCUUCGGCUGCUGCCCGUGUGCGAGGUAUGGACGUCGGCUCCGGUGUUUGGAGUGUUGCUCUGGAUGAAAACUGCCCGUGUGCGAGGUAUGCCGAAGACAACGAUGUUGUAGCGCCGUUUUCCUUCUUGGAGGUGUCGUCGAAGAGCUUCACUUUCCCUCACUUUGAUGUUUGGUGUCUUCGGGUGAAAACCUAAGAUUUGGCUAUGGCCAGAUCGGGCGACAACGGCGUUUUUACGUCGAUUUCCUCCUUGGGGGCGUUGUCAUGGAGACAACGACUCUUGGUGGCAUCGGGUGGUGUGGUCCGUCUAUGGUGGAGCUUGUUGUCUCGAGUUGUUGAAGGUUUGGUGGUGUCUCUUCUUGUGUCAUGUGUUAGCUUAGGCUGUCGGUUUGUGUCCGGCGAGAACGUGCGUUUCUUAUCCUUUGGUGCGGUUUCGGCAUGUGAUGCCUUUCGUCUUCACUAUCGUCACGUAGGUGUCGUGUUGUAUUCUCGGUGGUGUGUGGUCUUUCGGCUUAGCCAACGGCAAGUGGAGGUAUGAUCUCGGUUGUGUAUUGCCCUUCGACUUCAUCGGCGGCACAUCGGCGUCGCGGUGGGUCUCAGUGACGCGCAGCCCUUCGACUCUGCCGGCUACGUAGGUGUCAUGGUGCGGCCUUGACCCUGUGCUUCCCUUCAGCUACGGCGACGACAUAGUGUCUGGGUGGGCUCGUCAGAUCGACGCCUUUCGACUACAUCAACUAUGCUCUUCAUUGUGCAUUUAUUUUGCCAUUGACAUGUUUCAAGAGUCUAGGUUUUUUCCUUGUGUUUCUUUUAGCAAAUGCUGUUCUGCAGGCUGGCUUUUGCCCACCCGAUCAGAAAAGAAAAACAAAUUAAAGGCUAAAAUCAAGCGAUGUUAUAUUCCCUUAGCUAUUACAAAUAUGGAUGAUAAGAGUUAUUUAUCCUUUUUCAACGAGUAACCCUUUACUUGGAAGUUCCAUGUGCAUGGCGCUGCAAGAAAACAAACAUCAUAAUGGGGCAAGACUUUUUUUUUUAUAAACAUCCAAUUUGGGUUAAAGUCUGAAAGAAUUUGGCUAUCUGAACUUUCAGUUUCCACAUUCUUUUACCUACUCAAUUCUUCAGCCAACAGGAUCAAUGGCGACCUACUAACACCAACCAGAACACAUGGGUCACAAACACGAAAAAGGGCUAGAAGGCUACUUAUACACACUCAUGUGUACUGCGAGCAAAAGAACAUAAUGUACAAAACUUUACAAAAUCUAGGGAAUUAAGACCUUCCCGUAUGCUGUUGCUGCCGCUGCUGCUUCAUGCUGGCUCUCCUGGCAACAUCCCAUGGUUUGUGAGGCACACCUACACCUUGCUGGGAUGCGAAGAACGACUCGUAUCCCGGGGAGUCGAAAGCAAAACCAGUGUGCUUGGAGUUCUCUCGAGGGAGCAUGGAGAUCGCAUAGCUUCUUGCUUCUUCUGGGCUCAAAUGGCUCCUCUCAGGCAGAUGUAUCAUGCUGUAUUCGUGGGGGUCAUCCUUGUGCAUCUCCUGGAUUACUUGGUAGUCAUAGGGAAAGAGCCAUCUUUGGAGCCUGAGAAAGCACACAGCAUCAAAGACAACAAUUGAUUCAGCUACUUCAGUAUGUACAAUGGAAGGAAUAACAAACGGAUGGCAUUAACAAACAUAUAAUUUUGCAAAAGAGCUGGUAUCUUACGAUAGAUACAGGAAAUCACCAAAGAGAGCGAUGACUGGAGCAAGCAUUAGUGUGAGGUAGAAGAAAAAGGUACUCAUCAGAACAUAAAUCACAAAAUAUACAUUUUCCUGCACAAGGUACACAGCAUUAAGUCAAUGCAUUUGUAGCAAGUAAUCGUCAUCAGCAGUGUAAUAGCUACAUUAUUCACCCACCUGUCGGUCAAAUGAUGUCAUUAUCGCAGAAUAUAUGAAGAUAAACAGAAACCAGGCCGCUAUACUGCCAGCUACGCUGAAAUAAUGCCAUCUCGUGAUAGAAUUGCACGACAUGAGGAGACGUAGAUUAACAGUCACCACAACACAAGUAAAGGCCAUCGUGCUAACAUCCCAUUGACCAAGAAUCUUGCCAGAUGAACCGUGACCAUGCUGACUUGCAGCUGCAGUAAAGUAAUAGAACACUAUUGACUGGUAGAAGGCAAAGAAACCCCACACCGCAAUCACUUUCCACCGGAAGAAUGUGUUCCUAAUUCCUUCUUGGUAAAGUUGUGGGUAUUUUUUUGAUAGAGAUGCACUCACAUCCUGAAAGGGUUCAGUUUAGUGAAUGUAGCAAGGAGCGUCACUCCAGAACAAGAAAAGUAGAACAAAUACAAGCAACCAUACCUUAUCAAACAACCCAACCAUAAUUACAGGUAGUGCCGUGAAAAUGACAUUAUACAGAGACUGGAACCAGUCAUCAUAAAAUCGCUGACCAGAAAAGCCAGUUUGGAAAGUGAACCAGAACUGAGUUAGUGUAAAAGUCAGAUUCUUGUAGAAGAAGUAUGUGAUAACCUGAAACAGAAAGUGUCAAUGUUAAAAAAAUUAAACUACACAGAUUGGCAGCUACAAGCUAAGGGACCAAAGCAUACCUUGCACAAUCUCAAGUAUGACCACCGCCCAUGUACAAGAAGUAAAUCCGUAAGAUAUCGAAACUGAGCAAUGGCAAAAUCACUCGCCAUAACAGCUUGCAUUCCUUCUUGUCCGCUGAUGCCAAUACCAACAUGAGCAGCUUGAAUCAUACUCACAUCAUUAGCACCAUCACCAAUACUGAGAGUUAUCUUACGUGCACCUUUCCUAACUAAACUUGCAACCUACAAAUGUGUCAACAUUACAUGUUUUGGCAUCAUUCGAACCCAACAGGUUAUUAGGAAAUAAAUCCAAAAAUAAGAGACUUUGAGAUUGCUGAUGGGAUGGGUAACAACCAAAUAAGCACAUAUACAAUAAGUUAAUUAAUACUACCUUUGUUUCAAAAUAUUAUACCAAAACGUCUUAUAUUUUGAAACAGAGAUAGUACUUAUAGUACAAGAGUGUACAGGACAUUUAGUUAAGAGGCCAAAACUAGAAUAGCAAAAGCAACCAAUGCACAGUGGUUAAUAAUGAUCUUGUGAAUCAUGCACAAACUAUUUUGUUGUCAAGGUACAAAAUUGGAUCCUUUAAAAUGUAAUAAUAUCAAUAUCCCCCGUUUAUUGCCCAAGCAUCCUGAAAGGCAUGCAGCUGAGAGCUGCAGACCAUACUGCUAAUUAUUUCAUGGGAAAAGGCAAGGCAUGCAUGAUAAGAACGCUAAAAGCGAGAAUUGAUAUUUACCUGUGCCUUUUGCAGUGGAGAAACUCGACAACAUACAACUGAUUGGCAAAUUAAACUCAAACCAAGAAGAUUCACACGCAGAGCUGGGUCUAGAGCGUACAUCAAGCAUCGUCCAUCAAUAAUGAAAGCCAACUUUCGUCCUGGCGUGCUCCUCAAAGAACGGUGGGCUUCCUCAAGGUAACUUCUCAGACUCUGUUUUACCGAGUCUUUGAUAACACGUGCAAUUUCCACAGGGUCUCCCUGAAAAUGACUGGAACAUUAUUCAUGGCAAAGAUAUGUGCAUAAGUUGAUUUACAUCAAUCAGAUACAAAUGCUAAAUUGCUAAUUAUGGUUGAUCAAACUGCAAAACACACGAGAUAUCCAAAAGGCUAUAUAAACAUGAUGGAGAGGCUAAAGCACUGAAACAACAGAAUCAACAUAAAGUAUUUUGUACUAUUAUGCAACUAAGCCUUUUGUCCCAAGCAAGUUGGGGCAGGCUAGAUAUGAAACCCAAACAGAAACUAAAGCAAAGUGCAGGUAACAAAAGAGCAAGAGAGUAAAUCAAGGUUCAGGCACAUGGACUGCUGAUUUCCAUGCAGCCCUAUCAAAAGCAAAAUCUCUAGAUACAUUCCAGUCCUUCAAGUCCCUUUAACUGCCUCCUACCAAAAGCAAAUAUCAUAGUAAUCCACCAACCAAAGUAACAAGGGAACUACUUGUAACUUCUUAGUUCACAAGUACAUACCAGUUGAGCUAUCCAAUUAUUCUAAAUAAUAUGGUUUGAUACCUUUACCAAAGUCUCAACUUGUAUUCAUUUUAAAGCUUAUACAAGAUAUUAUAUGUUAUGGCUUAACAGUCUCCAUGACACAAUAUGGCUUGACUUCACAGUUUAAUUCUAUAGGAUUAUCUUACCCUGUCUUCAGCAUCUCUAAUUGCAUCUGUCUCAGAAGUGAUGAUGAAUUGUUUUGUAUCGUUAUUCACCAGGCUGCACGCUGCAGAGCAAAAACUAAAUAACUUCAGAAGCUUUUCUAUGUCAGGUGAAAGAGAGAGAAAAAGACCGCCCGCCCCCCACCAAUAAUCCAAAACUGAGCUUCUAUUAGACCCCUUAAGAACGAAACAAGCAUGCAAAUUGAUCUAUAUAUAAUUAAAACCUCACCAUAUGCUAUAUUAAUUGCUGUUUCCAUUUUAUCUCCAGUUAGCACCCAAAUUUUUAUGCCAGCUGCAGAAAGAGUUUCAAUGCAGGCUGGAACCCCUUCUUGCAGUUUGUCUUCUAUUGCAGUGCACCCUAUCAAUAUAAGGUCCUUUUCAAUCAACUCAGCCACCUACAGGGGAAGAAACAGAAGGAAAUUAUAUGGCAAUGUCCCAGCAAUAUCUUAAAUCAGAAUAUACAUUAAGUCUAUUACUUCAAAUUCCUUUUUCCUAGAAAUCACAGUGAACUUAGUACAUGAAAGAAUGAAAGGAUAAUGCUUUUCUAAUGGGGAUUUGAAAAAACAUCAUAAAAAUAAUAAUAUAAAGUACUGUAUGUUCUUGUUCUAGAUAAAUUACAAAUAUCUUUUGCUCAUGAUCCUCUUUCCUGACUAAAAAAUAUAUAUUAUUAUGUAAAAUACUAAUGUUCUAUGGCAGUACAAGAUAAUAAAUUAGCACAAAAAACUAUUAAACUGCAAAUGUCAGCUGUUAGGGAUGGAUGACAUGACUCCUGUAGUUUUGGGGGGAGAGAGAGAGGAGACACACUGAACAAAUUACUUCCUUCGUCUCCAAAGAUUGCCAUGCCACAUUCUAUUCGGUCAGUCAACCUUUUACAACUUCAAAAUUAACAAUUAUAAGUGAAUUGAAUUACUACAUGAAAAAUAACAGCACUCAAUUUGCUUGCAUAAUAAUUUGUACGCAAAACUUUUGCUUGUAUAUUAGCAUAGAAAUCAUAGCCAGAGUUUUAUGUUGGGAGAAUAUAAAAUUAAAAAAUGGCCUACAUUUGUCAGGUACAUUCAGUUAAUUGUUUCCAAAACCAAAUUAAUUUUCAUACAUAAAUACCAAACGGAUCAAUAGCAUGCUCAACAGUGCACAUGAGACUCGAGUUCAGUACUGGAUGACAGAAAGUAAAAAAAAUCAGGCAAGCACUAGAAGGUGGAGGGGAAGUAAUCGAAAUUCAAAUCACAGGGACUGUUCAGCCUGUAUACUCAACAGAAGAGGAUGGUACACAUACCUCAUCAAGCUUCUUAUCACGAUCUCGUAAAGAAGAUUUAGCUUGAACAAACUUCUCAUUCCAGCUUUCGUACUGCUCCCUGCUUAGAUCUCGAUAAGCAAGGCAAAGCGUGCGCAAGCCAGCAGAGCCAAAUUGUUCUAGAUGUUCUCUGCUUGUCUUUUUAAUGUCAUGAUUUCCAUCAGCUAACCGUUCAAAAAUGACAUUAUCAGCGCCCUGUUACACAACAUUUGUAUAAGGUUAGUGCAUCAAUCUACAAAGUGAUAGCUACAUAAAGAUUCUUUUUUCUUGUAUUACCUUGCAAUACAGAACAAGUUUUCCAUUUGGGAAACGGCAAACCACAGAUUGGCGCUUUCUUGUACUGUGAGUGCAGUAAAGUGUGAAGUGCAGAACAAUGAUUUCAUCUUGUCAAAUUUAAAUUGAAAACAGAUAAACCAGACCUGUUGAAUUCCAAAACAUUCAGAAUUUCAUAUGCAACAUCUUGUAUACUCCCCAUCCUCUCAACAUGUGAUUCCCGAACCAAGACUGUGGUUGGCGUACGUCUACAAGACAGGCACAAAAUGUCAACCACCGGCAUUGCCAUUCACAAUAAAAAUGCCACAUGAAAUAAUUUGCAACAAAAAUCAUAAGAACUUAGAUGAGUUCAUGUUCACAGCACUUGCUUUAACACUUGUCUUAAUUUACAACGGCAAUUUUUUGUUGAUGGGCUAAUAGUUUAUUUAUGCUUCUUAGUAUGUACAUUCAGUCCUUCAUACAACAAACUAUAUAAGCAAUAACCUGGGUGAGUGACUCUUUUAUGCACAUUUUCCUUGGGACCAUAGCAUAGUUUUUUAAGAUACCUUGUUUGCAACAAACUGAUAAGAGGAAUCUAUAACUGUAUUUAAAGGCAAGGUAAGACAUGCCUAUAAAAGAAGAAACCAAAAUUCUUCGCAGCAGCGACAAGCGCGGCCUCGUCGGGAGAGGCAGCUUGAUAAGUAAUCUUUUCCGGUGUCUCCUCACCCUCAGGAAGAACUGUAUGACAGAUUGCAAGGCAUCUGCAGAAUUGCUAUAGAGCAAAUAACAAAGUUGUUACACAACUAGCACAUUAACAAGGGAAAAUGUGAAAAAGGAAAAUAGGUUCCAAAUUUUAUUAGUAAGGGCAUAUAUCGUGAUAUGUGAAUAAUUUGUGUCAACUAAAUCAAAACUGAUUAUGACCAAAGGGGAACCAAUCGAACUAUUCCACAGGUAGUCCCGUAUUUACCACGCAAGCAUCAGGAUUAGGUUCAUUUCUCCAUGCACCACGCAUUAUUCUAGCAUCAUCAAAGUUGAAUCCUUUCUCAUGAACUGCAGUGGCUGAUCUUUUACCCUAAAAAAGGCAAGUAAACUGGAUAUUAAAUCAGUUGUGCAUUAAAUUUUUCAUCAUAUACCACCACACUUCAAUAGCGUAAACAACAAAGAAAAUGUUGUAGACCUCAUCAUCAUCAAUCUUGACUCCGGCUCGCUCGGCUCCUCCUUUUUCAAUCUCUGUGAUGCCAGUUCCAUAUAUUUCCCCUCCAAUCGAACAUUUAAAGAAUUCCAUCAAGUUUCUUGUAAGUGUUCCAGUUUUGUCAGAAAAUAUAUACUCAACCUGAACCAUUAGUGGGGCAAAAAAAAUUUGGCAGAAAUGUCAAAUUAUUUGCAAGUGUUAAGUGCAUUUUAGUACCACUCGGCAUUUGUUCAGUCAUAUAAGCAUUUCUGGGGAUCUAGAACAGUUUUUCGGUGGGAGUAAGUCACUUAAUAUUAGUGAAAUGAGACUGUUCCCCAAGUGCUUAUAAUUGAUCCCACUUUCUGGAAUGAGUCGGUGCAGUGAGGUCAUUCUAUCCAUUAACCAAACCCAGCCAUAUAGGUCAAAUAAGUAAAUAACCCCAUUUCAGCAACAAACAAAGGGGCUUUCAUCAAACUAAACAGAAUGCUAAGGAACAAAAAAAAAACUGAUAUUACCUGCCCAAGCUCCUCAUUCAGAUUAGAAGUCCGAGCCAAAGCUGGGGUGUUGCUCUCGGCAUGAUACAUAUUCAGAUCAUUGUUAAUAAACUUUGCACACUGAAUGAAUUUGAUCAUCUGCCAGCCAAAAUAAACAUAAGGUCCAAUCCAAAUACAGGGUACACUAAAUGAUAAAUUGGUCAAUAUACCUCAAUGGAUACAUAAAGAGAAAUGGGGAUGAUCGUUGAGUAUAGAGUUAUUAGAGUAAACAUAGUUAAAAUGGUCACCUGCAAAAGUACAAACCUAUGAUAUAAGGCCACUUAGAGAAUAUUCUCUACAAUAAAUUAACUAAAAUAAUAUAUACCACAAAUCUGUUCUUGGGAUUAAACUGGUCCUCGACACGCCCACGCAAUCCAAGAUAGAAGUAUUUCUCAUUAAUAAACACGCCACUGUUCACAAAAGCCAAGUAUGAUGAGUCCAUUGGUAGAGUUUUAGGUUUCUAAAGAACGUGCAAGCUAAGCAGUCAUAGUUACCAAAAUCUAUAUGCUGAACAGAGCACUUCCAUUUCUGACCAUCUAGAAAGUGCCCUAUUAUGUACCUCCCACAUAAAACCACUAAGAAAAAAGAUAAGGCUAUUAAGACCUAGUCAUGUGCUCAUCUAUACUGCUCCUAUGCCACAAUAAAAAAAUAACUUCCCCAAACAAGCUCCUGACAACUCAUGUCAUAAUGUUUAAAGUUUAUCUCUCUAUUAACAGUUGUUUUUUCAUGAUCAAUUAAAUUGUGAAAAAUGAUUGUGCAAGCAUAAGCCUCCACAACAUCAACCUAACCGAUAUAACUCAUGUUCAGAGAAUAUACAUGUAAACAAUAAUACAAGAUAGAUAAGUCAAAUAAAUGAAGUGGGCCAAAUAAAACACUGACCUUCCAAUAGCACCAAUGACACACAUCGUAAAGAGGGUUGCAAAUAGAGCAAGAAUAAGCUUGUCUAGUUUCUUCUCCAAUGUACUUCUUUUAGAGGGAACAUUCAUAGAAUUCAUCAUAACCUGCAAUAGUGUCCCACUGCAGUAAAUCUCAAAACUAGAAGCACAUCUAACCUACAAGUUGAAUAUAUAGGGACACAAAAUUGCACAUACUUUCGUCUCAUGGCCCGUGAAUAUAACAGCCGCGACAAUGUACUCUGUAUUACGAAGGCUGCAUCCCUGUGGCAAAGUGGUAAUAAGAGGUUGCAUGUGUGCCACAUAAAGAGAGAGAAUUAAGUGUCAUGCAAGACACCGUUCAGUCUGGUGAAAGUAAACAUUUCUUUUGCACUUUACAAACAUUGCUUCAACCCUUCACCACUUAUCCUACAUAUGGGACUAGAGAAGAAAUGGAAGUUGUUUAUAUGAAUGUUAAACAUUUCCAAAUUGUUUAUAUCAUAGCUAUCCUUGUUUGCAAACCAAUAAGAACAAUAUUAUUAUAGAGGUGUUUUAUGAUGAAAAUUUCUGCUGGUGACAUUUGGGUGUCGUCAAUAUUGGUAUUUGGAGGAGAUGUUGGUGAUCAAAGUUAAAGGCCGAGUAAAGGCAUCACGCUAUGAUGUUAUUUUUUACCUGAGGGAUUUUCUUAACAAACUCAUGCUAAAUCUAGAACAUGCAAACAACUUUGCAGGUGGACAAUCUUGUAAAGAAAUUUCAAGGGCAUGUUUGUGUGAGGGGUAUUACUUUGGUACGUGUUGGUAACUACAUACCUAAUUGUUACAAGAAAAAUCUCAUCCAAACAAGCCCUAAGGACAUUAUGGACCUUGCUACUGCAAAGUUGGUAAGUCGAAAAUACGACAGGAUGUCUGAUUGAUAUGUAGGACCUGGACCCACAUGUCAUUCUCACAGCGAGUCGCACUAUUUCAAAUGUCAACUUUGUGGUGGCAUGGUUUCAAUUUUCCCAAUAAGAAACUAGAUACAAAUAGCAUAGAUGAACAGCACUUACCCUUAGUAGUAUUUGAUUUGGUGAAAUUGGUAUAGUUUGCUUGUCCACAAUAAGGUUCCCGGUAAAUGUAUAAAGUGAAUUGUUUGGCUGUUCGCAUUGUAUUUCACCUGUAAGCCAUGAAACAUACAGAUAAUGUGAAGUUAAGAAAAUGUAGAAUAGUUAAGUGAAGUUCAGAAAAGGAGCAAUGCUUCCUACACCAACUACCGAAAAAUGUCUGCAACAUGGAACAAGAAUAGAUAAAAACCUUUGAAUUCAGAAGCCUUUUCAGGAAUUACGCAGUCCCAGGUUUUCUCCAAAGCCUUCCUUAUUUUCAGGUUAGUUUCCCCAUCAAGAUUUGCUGUCUAAGGUAAAUAGAAGUAUGAUACACUUCAAUUAAAACAGAGUUUCUCUAAAUCAUUCAAUAAUUUCAAUUUGGACAAAAGAUGGAGAAGGUAAGAAUGAAUAUAUUGACCUCUAUGUAGCAGACACCAUCAGGGUUCGUACUUGAUAGGAAGAGCAAGUCAGAAGGAAAGUAAGUGUCUUGCUUGAUCUGCUCUAAAGAAGUGCCAUCACUAUUAGUCUUUUUGGAUAUGUGUAUCGAGCUGAAGAUUAAAUUUGCACAGCACAAAAGAUCAAGUGCAUUAAUUUGUGGAAGCAACAGAUCAAUUGAAUUGAUCAUCAAAUUGCUAUCAGGAAAGAUGAAGACAUUACCCUCACAAUAUCUCCAACCUGCAGUCUUUUCCAAGGGGCACUUUCCCAUUUUUGACCUUGCAAUACAUCGACGUGCGCAUUAUUAAUUGACAUGUCAUUCUGGAAACGUUUCUGUAUAAUGGGAGGCAAACAAAAAGGGAAGAAUAUCAGAUAACAUUAAGAAUAGCAAUAAAAUAGUGGAGCAACAGAGCAUGAGAGCAAUACUAACCCAGUCCUCAAAAGCUUCCUUGAUGAGUGAAACCAAAAGCACUAAACUAAGUGGAACCACAUUGGUGACAGGGUGGACUGGACUGCGAAGAUACAAGCAUGUAUGAACUAAGAUUUCUAGAAGUAAAGGUGAAGGAAAGCAAAGGAUGACUGAAUCAACUGAUGGACUUGAUAUGCUAAGAAGUGUCUAGCUGUAACAUGAGAAUUCCAUAGGGUGCAUGCAUGAGAGAGAGAGAGAGACCUAAUUGGUGUAGUCGACAAGAUUGAAAUCAUAAGAAAGUAAAGAUUUGCCACCCGUCUGAACUGUCAAAGCAAAAAAAAAAACAAAUGAAUUACAAAAGGUUCCUAUGGUCAAAUUGCGAUAAUACAGAAAGGGAACAUCUAAAUCGGUGUUACAGCUACCAUUGCAAAGUUUCUUUAUUCGAUAUGGAAAAAUGCAUUACAUGUUUAAUGUAUGAAGCCAUUGAAAUACUUUAAUGUACCUUACGUAAAAAACAGUGGAUAAUGAAAUUGCCAGAAUUAUGGUAUCGCAUAAAAUGAAGGUUACAUUGAGCGAAAAGCAUGAUCAGGGCUUUACCAAAUAACAAAAUCAUACUUCUCCUUUUCUCAAUAUAUGGCAUUUUAGGUUUCAUUGAAGACAAGUCUUUGAAAAGGAUUUACUUUGUGUUGUUUUUAAGGCAUGAAAUUUAUAUCACUAGAUUCAUCCUCAAAAGUACUUAAUGUGGAUUCAUAUCAUAUAAAUCACAUAUUAAUGAAGUAAUUCUUGGUCAAAGUCUUGUAUUAACGAAACCUAAUAUGUCCUGUAUUGACAAAAUGAGGGAGUAUAUUAUCUAACAGUGCAUGUAUACAGGCACGAUACUGGUAGCGCGUAUUACAAGCAAGGUAUCUUAAAAACAUUGCAACACAGUGCCAGACCAGGUAAGCAACUAAGCAUCUCAUGUAUCCACUAUUUUAAGGGAAGUUGAUCCAGAGUGAGGAAAUAAACAUUUUUAAGGAGAUAUAUCAAUUUGCAAUGUGAAAAUGAUACGGAGUAGUAUAAUCAUUUCACUGUGAUAACAAAUACUCCCUCCGUUCUAAAUACUUGUCGCUGUUUUAGUGCAAACUAAAACAGCGACAAGUAUUUAGGAACAGAGGGAGUAACUUCCAUUUACCGUUAGACAUGAUACAAAAUAAUAUGUUGAAAAAAAAUCUAGCCAAAAACUAAAAAACAAACAGAAAAUCUGCAUUAAACGAUGACAAACCCAGCAGGUAUGUUGAUUAACAAAAUAUGUAUGAACAAAAAACAACGCAUCAAUACCUGUUCAAACAAUCCUUUAGGUAGAAAUGUCAGCACACUGUACUUUGUAGUCGACACAGAAUUUCCCUGGAAAUGUAGAAUGAGAAUGUUAAAGAACUAAUUCUAGCAGAAAAACAAAGUAGCGCUCUGCAUUAGAAUCGCGAUGGUCUGAUACCCAACAUGAGGGAGAUUCUGAAACUAAACAGAAGAGCUAAUUGCAACUAGAAGCAUGAAAAAAGUAUAGCUUGAUCUUUUUACAACAUCAAGUCUGAAUACAUUCAAGCAUUUACACUAACUUGGAACAAAAUGUGGGUGUCAAAGAAAAUGCAUGAAUACACCUACUUACAAUAAAGCACCAAUUUUGCAGUGAUUGGACAAACUAUGGUUAAAAUACUUAAUAAUAGAGUUCUACGUAUUUGGAGGCAUAAAACGCAUUGCAGUUGGAGCAGUGGCAUUAUCAUGUUAGUCAGUCUAACAUGGCAGUGAAUGACGUGAAUUUUUUGCUAGUUUAGACCUCUGGCCAGCGCAAUUGACAAAAAUGCCCCCCUCUCAAAACUAAUGCCAAAAAUGGUCUGGCAGAAGGCCCGAAAGGCGCCACAUUUCAUUUUUCGCCAUCUGAGCUGCGCAUGCAAACAUUCCGACAACCUGAAAGGCGGAAAGGCCGUUCCGCCUACUGCAUUUGAUGAAUGCACCUGACAAGGGCGGAAGGUGAACUGGGCCCUGCAGAUGGAAGCAAUUUCCACAUUUGUUACAGACCUGGAAUCUUUUUUUUUGUUGGAGUCGACGGACCAUGUAUGUGCGGAUGCAUAGGAAUCGGCAAGCAGCCUAGCUGCUAGUUCACGGGCACGUUUUACAUUUUCUUUCCUCAGGUUUGGCUAGUGCUACCACGUUGAUACUAAUCAACGCUUCUUGUGAAUGGGCUUAGUUGCUUCUACUAGUCGUGCGAGCGUUAAUCUUUUCUCUGUGCGCCUGCAUGUGCGGGCGUGGGAAUCGGGUCAGGUCCCUGCAGACAGCACGCCUGGCUGCACUGGGCCUGCUUCAGCUUCCGCCCCUGAAAAUUCACUUUCGUCCAUUUCAACUGGAAACAAGUAGGCUCCACCUGUCCUGUUGGCGGAAAGUUCAUUCCUCCUACCCAGUGGCCACUGGGUCAGUUGCUGGGCUUUCCACCACGUCAUUUUUCAAAUUAUAUUUCAGAUGGAGCUAUUUUUGCCAAUUCCGUUUGACAAGGGGCUACAAGAGCAAAGAAAUUGAAUGACAUAGCAAGCAAUCAAUUUCCCCUUAUAGGUAAAUAAUAAACAGCUUUGCUUCAGCUUACUGUCAUCAGCUGGUGGCUGACUGCCCUGACCAAACACAAGUUCAGUAAUCUACACAGCAAGCGGCACACAGGUGCAGCUAAGCACAUGGAUGAACAGAAUAUUCCAGCCAUUGAGGCUCAGCUCUCGAAGCUUAAUGCCAGGUGGCAUCUACAUUGUAUUGCAGCCCGUAGCACCCUGAUUGACUAGUAACCCAACAAUGAGACAAGCUCUAAUCCACCCAAUGACCUCACAGUUGGCAAGAAAUGCAGCCCUUAGUGACACGCACCACCCUACAUAACUUUCUCGUGGACUAAUCAGUAUGAAUCAUAUAAACCCUCUGCAAGCUGCAGUGAAAUAAAACUACUACUACUGAACUAGCUAUUGUCCCAGAUGGCCAUCUCCAACCCAACCGCCCAAGCAUGAAACAAGGGGCCAGUUACGAGAUCUAGGCCUACAGACCCCUAGACCUUGAGACAACCGACCUGUUGAUCAUCCGAAUUAGAGGAGGAGGUGCACACCCGUACCUUGUACCCGACCGGCGCGUUGGCUUCGCGGUCGUUGCAGUAGAUGGUGCGCACGGUGGGUGCCUGCGGCUGCGGCUGCCGUCGGAGGCUGCCGCCCCCGCCGCCGAGACGCGCCGUCCUGGACGCCUCAGCGCGGCCGGCCUGAGAGGUCCCCCCCCGCGGCGACUGCUCGCCGCCCAGCCGCGCGGUGGCAACCCGCAUCAUCUCCUUUAUGCGCGAGCUCAUCCUGCCCCCCUCAGCGCCAAACCCAGCGCUGGAGGAGCCGGCGGGAGAUCUGGGGAAACCUCACGGUGGAUCGGAGGGGAGACCUAGUCGGAUUUGCGCGGCUUUCUGGUGGAUUUCAGUGCCUCGCUGAGGAGGGGAUUCGAUUUGGGUCACGCGUUCCCGUAUGUGCGUAUUUUUUCCGUGUAAUUUUUUUGUUUUGCCUUUUUCUUUUCCUUUGGCUCCGGGAGAAGAGAAGACAGGAGGGGAAGGAAAAGCGAAGGUCGCGACUUCGCGAGGAAGAAAAUGAAGGGAUUACUGCAGAUCACACCCUUGAUUAUUUUCGAAUAUGGAAAGCUCCAGUAACUGAAGUUUGAAAUUCCAGCCGCGUUUGUCUUUUCCUUCUUCGAGCAAACAACCGUGUUCUUGACUUGUUCUAUGUUUUUGCUGUCCGGAGGACUACCCGAUUUGCAAGUAAAUAAUGGCAUUAAUUUCAUAUAAGCACUUUAGGACACCACACUUGACAUGGUUUUCUACUGACGACGACUAUAUGGUGGCUUUGAUGUUCCAUGAAUAGAUCUUUUUAGCGGUGUUUCAAGUUCAGGUGUUAUAACAAAGCAUUACUCUUGACCUAUCUUCCCUUGCGACCAUGCUUUUUGAAUCGCCAAGUCGAGUCGAAUCGCCCCCCAACAGACUUGGAGGUUAGUAUGAUUAGUCAGAAACUAGUCUCGACUAAUCAACCCAAGUCGAGCCUAGUGAUCAGUGAGGUUUAGGGAGCUCUAGCAGGGAGCAUUAGAGGAAAGGAGUGAAUUGCAGUAGAGGGGAAGCACGAGGGAACAGUUUUUGUGGUGCUGGAGCUUGAAGAAGAGGUUCAUGGCGGCUAGGAUCUAGGAGUCGAUAAACUUAGAACGCCCGUGUUGAGGCAAACGCGUUGAGGAAGACGACUUCAAAGGUGGUUGGCUCAUUAUCAGGAUAGGUGCGUGCCUGGCAGCCCAUAAAGGCCUAUUAGAAAACCCUAACUCCCCCCUCCCCCCCCCCCCCACACACACAUUGCCUUCUUCUACACCACACACGCACCAAUGGCGGCCAUCUUCUUCCCCUUCCCUGCUGCUCCCCAUGCCUUCUCUCCCUCCCCGAAAAGAAAUAUCUUCCGAAAAUUCUUCUCUUCGAGUCAAGUUGAGGGGCUCGCGGCGUUCCUAGUCACGGCGGCUAGUCGGAGAAGUCGCGGUUCUAGCUGACGAGUCGCGCGACUUGCUCUGCUAGUCGAGUCGCGGCUGCAAGCCGCCAUCAUUGUGCUGGCUCGGCGACUAGUUGGCGAUUCAAAAACCAUGCUUGCGUCUUAUAAUUUUGUUUCCUCUUAGAUUUUUUUCAAUUAUGUAUGGAACUCUUUUAAGCUUGGCUAACAUAUUGGGUCAAUUUGUCUCCCAUUGAAAAAAAAACAAUUUCCUAUAAAAAAUAAAGUAUCCACAAAACAAUAUGCAUAGCGCAGUUGUUUUCAAAGUUGUGGAUGAAACUUUGUGUUGUACAGGCAACCACUUAAUAACUUGUUCGGUUGUAGAAUUCCCCGCAUGUAUUGAAGAGGAUUAAGAGAGAUCUAAGGAAAAUUGAUCUGCAAUUCGAUCAUUCCCUCUUAAUCCCCAUCGGAGUGGAAUCAACCGAACGGGGCUAAUGUGGACCAUAUCACCUUGAGGACUCCAUUCUUCUUUUAUGGCAACGUUGCAUGGACCUUGAUAUGAACGCACGUGCCUGCAAUCUCUAUUAUUUUUUCGUAAAUAGCAACUGUCCUUUCUGUAUCUUGUAAUAUGUUUUCUACAAUUUUAUUUGGGAUAUUUCGUCAAGAACCCAAAUCGAUUACAUUUUCCACUUUGGCGAAUGAGUCAAGAUUCUCCAUGUGUUCCAGCGAGGCAACUGCGAGCUACACAUGUAUGGUGAAACAAGCCUCGCAACUUCGUAAGUAACUCCAAAACUACAUCAGCACGUCUCUUGAACUUUGGAAACACACAGACGUGUUCCACGACCGUGAGGCGACGGAGUUAACGGGGCAGCGUUGCCGGAAAGACAAGAGUACCGUAACAAGGCCCAGACUGGGCUGCAUCGGCGUUCUGCCUCUAUUACAAGCGAGAGAUGUUGAACCGGCCAAGGUUAGGCAAGGCAGUCAGCGGGAGGAUUUUUUUUUUUUUGUUGUUGGUUUUGAAGAGGCGCGGGAGGAGAAGAACUUGCUUGACCAGCCCACAAGAUCGUGAACCGGUAUGACAUUGACAUUUUAUUUAGGGCCAGUAACGUGUAAUUAGAAGUACUAGCUUACAUCUCUUCCUUUUUGAACCGUCAGAUCUGCAACCAUAUCAUCUCUCCCCUUUGUCCUCUUCGCUAUGCCGAUUUUAGUGAAACGCCGCUGCCAAAUCUUCACAGGAUUGUGAACCGGCAGCAGCUUCGACCCUUCAAUAUUAUUAUUACAGCUAAAUAAAAGACUGAAAUUAUAGGUGAGGUCCUUUGUUCUAAUCGCCCAAGCGAGCAGAAGCCAAGAGAUUACGUGCAAGCAUAGCAUGGCCAUGUUCGCCAACUCAUGACAUAGUGGCACAGGGACUAACCACCUGGAUUACAUGGCUAGCUUCCAUAUAUGUGCAACAAAAUAUUGGUACCAGGCAGCCAUCUGUGCCACCAACCAUAAACUCCCUGAUCCCAAAAAAUACAAAAUACCAAGAGUUUCCACCCACAUCAGUACAAGUGCACAACAGUUUAAGAGACAAGCCAAGGAUCAUUCCCAGUUUGUGGGAAUAAAUAAGAGUCCGCAGCAAACAGAAAACUCAAAAUCGCUGGCAAAGUUAGGAUGUGGAAAAAAGAAAGGCUUAAAAUGAUCUAGCCAUGGCGUCAGAAUCUAUUAUCAAUGUUUCUCUCUCAAGGAUUUCCCUUCUAUAUAAAGUAUAAUAUUACAAAGGGGCUGCUUAAAUAUCAUGGACUCCUGGAAUGUAAAGAGGGUAAUAAUCAACACUACAUGAGCCUCCUUUUUCCUGAGGCUGCUUCCUAAGACUGACUGACUGCUUCCCCGAGGAUCCACAUACACCCUCCCCUCUCCUCAAGUUCCACCUCCCACCAUGGAAGUUAAACCCCCACCAUGGAUCCGAUGCUAACCAACUGUACGCGACCUGGAGAAAGUCAGUCAGCUUGGUGGUUCAAUCAAGACAGAGCAUCACGAUAUUGCCCAAAUGGUAUAAUUGGCAGGAUCAAUAAGUAGUUUAUGCUCGCAGCAAGAUCCAAAAGAACCAAUCUACCAUGACUAAUGUAUGACAAGAAUGAUGUCUUAUGUCUACUUUCAGAUACACUAUGGUCCAGGUGAAACAAUAUUUUAAAGUUUAGUAAUUACUGGCAGUAGUAGACAGACCACAGAAGUGUAAAGAUAUUUGCACACAUGACCUUUUAAUCCAAGGCUAACCCAACCUUGUAAGCUACGUGCUGUUUGUGCUAACGCUGCUGCUUGAAUGCAAUUAGACAGUGGUGAUGUCCUUGUUAGUCUGUUACAUACCUAAGGCAUCACCUCCUGAUUCUAGGUUUGCACCGGAACUCUGCUAAGAGCGCUAUGUGAUCUGAUGACCAUUCAGGUGAAGGAAGAGCAGUGUCUUUUCUUAAGCUCUCCUCAUCCAGAAGUUCCAACAAAGACUCCACGGUCAACGAAUCCGCUGAAACAAUAAAGGAAACAUGAUCAACUGACCAUAAUCAAACAUAUCACAAUACUACAAGCUGAUUCUGAAGCAAUUCCCAGAAGUCUAAAUACAGCAUACAGGUCAGGUACCUACCUGUGUAAAAUAUAUAAUCAACAGUUCCAGUGAAAUCCCUUGUGCAAUUUGUGAAAAGUGGUUCAUUUGUUCCUGGAUCCAUCCUCCUUCGCUGGUGCUCUAAAUCAUAGCCAACACCUACCAUUCUUGCAAAUGAAGAAUAUGCACUGACCUGCAAACAAGUAAACAUUGGUCAGAAUUUUAAAGGAAGAACAAGAUAGACAAGCUUGAUAGUUUUACUGUACCAGAGGAAGCUGGUGCGUCAACUUGCUCACGGGGCGUAAAAUUGAAAGUGGGUCUAUGGCCAGAUCUGGAUGCAAUUGAUCAACUUUGCCCACCGCAAGAAGCCCAUGUGGAGUACUGAAAGACAAAAGGAAGCACUUAGAGAUUUAAAGUUAGAAAAAACAAGUAAACCUGAAAAAUAUUGCUCCAAUAGAAUCUUGACAUGCACCUCCCCGGGAUUGAAUUGAAAUCCCCACAGACCAACAUUGGAAUGUCUGCACUGUUGGCUAUUUUCUCCAAUCCUUUUAGUAGUGUUUGAACCUGCAAAAAACAUACUUACUUUCGAUCUGAAUUUUUCAGAUGUUGCAGAAUGCUAGCCUACAGAGAAUGUGACAAUACUGACCUCCCAUAGUUUCACAUCUUUGAGGUCUUGGUGGACAUUUACAUGUGUAUUGGCCUGAAAUUUGAGAUCAUUUAAAAGAAUGAGACCUCCAUGACUCCAAGUAGCAUAAGCCUAGGCCGUAUGAACAAUGGGAAAUCUGUAGUAAAGUUGGCCUCAAAAUCUAGAGUCUAGAGAGCCAAGUCCCAAUCAUCCGCCAUUAACAUAUAGAUGUUUCCGUGCAUCUUAUGCUACUAAGGUCAUCCUACACAGAUAUAUGUUUCACUUCAUUCCUAAAUGUUGUGAGCAAAGAAGGAAAAGAAUCCAUAUGUUGUUCUGCACUAUGCUGCUAGCAGUUCAAUAGCUAAACAUACGGGAAAGUCCACUUUUGGCCCCUUAACUAUUGCCUCAGAUCAAAAUCAUCUAAUUUGCACCCUCAACUAUCAAAAGCAUCCAAGUUACAUCUGAAGGCAAUAUUUGUUAGAGGCUUUGUGUGAUGUGGCAUCCAUGUCAACGUGUUUUGCCACAUCAAUCGCUGCUGGGCAGUAGGGCCCACAUAUCAUGGCUGCCGUGCCCCUUCUUUCUUUAUAAUUCUUCCUCCUUAGCCAUGCCAUGGCCUCCUCUGUAGGCUAUAGCUUCCACUGCUGCUGCUACAGAUAACCCAUGUUUGACGUUGCAUAACAUCUUCUGAUUUAGAGAGGGGUAUCCUGACAGACAUGUACCAGUCUCCGCAAACCGCUGCACGGCUGCAUCCUGAGGGGAAUGGACAAAGAGAGGAUUAGAGAGGAAGGCUGAGGAGGGAGGCGUUUAGGGCGACUCCAACACGGCCACCCAAAUCGGACACAAAAAGUGUGUCCGUUUGGGUCUGCUGGUGCCCCUAACACGGUCACCCAUUUGGUCCGUUUUAUUAUUUAGUAUUGGCCACGGAUAGGCGGGCCAGGGCAAGGACAAGGGAGGACAAGCGCAGUGUCCACCCGCUGUCCGCCCAGACACAAACCCGGUCAGAUUUGGGUCGGCAAUGGGUUGAGCUGGACAGAAAAGCAGACAGCCGCCACACCGGACGAAAUGGGUCGCCGCGUUGGAGUCACCCUUAAUGCUAAGCUGGGAAAGAGGAAGGGAACAGAAAUAAGAGGAUGAGGACAAGGGAGGGAGAAAAGGGUGCUUCCAAAAAAUCAAUCCCAGGCAUGUGGGGCCUACUGCCCAGUGGAGAAUGAGAUGUCAAAGUUGCUGAUUUGGCGGCUACAUACAGAAUAUCACUCAUGAAACCAGCUUCUGGUCCUAUCGAACGGUUUCAUGAGUUGAUGGUUCAAUUUAGACCAGGCAAAAGUUGAGGGAUCAUAAUUAGGCUUUUCCAAACAUAAAUGAAUGUCAUGCUGUAAAAGUAGUGUUCGUCAUCCAGUAAACUGGUUCGAAUAUCCAACAAGCGCACAACUACUUUAUACACAUCUAAAGAAAGAACAGCUAUUUACAUACCACACAAAGGAGCUGCCUUUUACCAGGAGUUUCAGUUCCUUGGUUGCCAAAUUUUGCUUCUAAAACCGCAAUCAGCGCAAUAUUAUCCUUCAAAGCAAAUAGAACGUGUGAUAAAUAACAUCACUUUUUUUUGCGAAAAGUGAUAAAUAACAUCACUGUAGCAUACAUUAUUUCUUUUGAAGUUAAUCUUACUUUAAUCAGUCGACUUAAAGCCACUCUUUUCUGGGAAGCUGGAAUAAUAGCUUCUGUUAAAGACUGUGCAGCCUUAUUGAACUCAACCUACACAAGCAAGUACAAGUAUUAGAUAGCUGCAAAUAUCAAGCUGCUGCAAACCUGCAGUACAGGUACCUCGUAUUUUUUGACAUGUGAAAAUCUAUCUCUACGGAAGAAAGUAGCACAGCCAUCAAUGGCAUUAGGAACUCCAGCAUACACCUGUGACAACAGUAAAGUAAAAUCAAACAAGAGACAAAAGGUAUUAAACCAAAAUAUGAAGGAAAAAAUCAACCCAAAGAUACCUCUGUUGUCCGUUUCUUGUAAAGCGCCUGAUACCCAUGUUUAUCAAACUCAGGAGCAAAAAAAUCCUCAAAGUGGUUCAAUUGUACCUGAAAACAGUAGGACUUGGCUUAAUUCCCUCCUGUUACAAUCUUCGGUCACUCUUCGUUUUUAUUGUAAGCCGCUUCAGUAAACUCUUCAUAAUAUAUAUGCAGACAAUAUUCGUGAAAGUUUAAACAGCAAGCAAACUAUCAUAAAUUCAUAAUCCAACAUCACUGAAAAGUGAAAACAAUCAAACAAAGUGAUGGCACAAAUAUGGAAACGAACAGCCCAGCAGUAUAUGAAAGAUUGUAGGUUGAUGAACAGGGUUCCGGCAUUAAAGUUUACCGAGUCGCAAAAAUUAUAUGAUCAACCAAAUGAGACAUGCUCGGUUCCUAAAACAAAUAUAUGAGAUGAAAAGCUGAAAAUAGGUCACCAAAAUAAAUAAAUUCAGAAGAUAGCAAACAUAUGAUACCUCCUGAAGACAUAUAAUAUCAGCAUGAUAACCAAUAAUUUCGCGCAUCAAAUUUUGUCUUCUGUAAGUCCAUGAAAGUGCCCACGUUGGGCAGUAGCUAUAUGCAUCAGAUGUAGCAUAUGCAUCAGCAAGAAUAUUAUAGGACAGCACCGUGAAUGUCCCAAAAGAAGAAGUCUGGCUGUCUAUAUCUGAGUGACCCAAAACAUCUCCAUUCACUUGGAUAAGGCGGCGUGGAGUAGGAGUUGGUGCUGGAAUCACACGUGAUGUCAUAAUUGAAGUUGGAGACCCCGCAGGUACUUUCUUUUCCGUAUCCACCGCUGCACAUUCAAAUCUUAGAACAUGCCCAAUAUCAUCAGCAGUUGGUGUAUACGUCUGCGAGCGUCCCACUUCAAACCAUGUUUCACCCGAGUUCUUAUCAGUGCCUGAGGGAUACAAGGGAACAGGUCCAUUAUUAACUCCAGGGCUCUGUCCAAGAUUUGACAUUGAGCCAGACCCAGAACUUAGAAUCCCAGAACUACCGCUGCCAAAUCUACCAAAUAGCUCCUCCUCUUCAGCUCCAUUUUCAUUUAAAGCACUACUAGCUCGCUCAUGCAAAACCCUGUGGUGCUGCCAUGCAUCAGAGAAGCACUUAGCAGAACAAUGGUAGCUCUUAGCAGCAGGUAUUUUUGACUUGAGACAACCUAAGCACUGAAUUGUUGCUUGCUCCAUCGGAUGUACACUGCAGAUAGUAACUUUUCGAUCACUCUGUAUGCGAUACCUUCGAGCGAAAAGUCAAAUCAGUAUAACCAUGUGCUACUAGAUACAGAAAAAGUUUAGAAGAACAUGAUUGAAUAUAGUAACUACAAGAAAGGACACCUAAAUUGCCAAUGUUUUAGCAUGUAUGAGAUCCAGGAAAACUUGCUAUCAGCAUCUUGGAAGUCCAUUAUUCAGAGACAUUAGACUCACAACACUUCCAUUAUAAGCAUAGUAUGAAUAAGGCAAAAUGAAGCAGGUUGCCAAGAUGUCGCAAAAAAAAAGAAGCAAAUUACAAGUUUGCUUGUCAUGAGUUGCUGCUGCUGUUGUUUUUUCUUGAUUUUAGUCCCUCAACCGGCUAACUCGUGAUCAUUCAUCUCUUGCUUUCUUUACCAGAUCAACCAUGCAACUGAUUUCUUUAGCGGACCAGGCAAUAUAUGUAAUAAGCAAAAUUCUACAGUUUAGAUCAGAGAUUCAGAGGACUAUUGCAGGCUCUCAUAUAUCAUCAUUAGGGCAUGACGACCAGACAAGGAAGUUGCUGUGUAUAUUAUUAUUCCUAGAAGAAAAACAUUUAAGUACUGUUCAAGGAGGCGACCAACUAUAGCCCAGUGCCCACCCCAUCAAUCGAUUAGUGUCUUUCAGAACACUUCAUUUCAACAAUGUGUCUAUAAAUGGCCACACUUACUAUACUCAAACCUCAAACCUUAAAAGUGAAUAAAGAUGCACAUAUCACAUGAGAUUCUAUCAAGCUAAUGACUGAAAAGCAACACAAUGAAAAUAUAAAAAACUAUAGAAUUGAAGGACCAAAACCAAUGAAACUGCAUGAGUGUUAGUGGGACCAAGCACCACCAUUUCGAAAAGUUCUAAGGUCUAAAGUCUCAGCAAUAAAUGCUAUUUAAACCUACAUGACAUUAAAAAAACGGAUGUGAUAAAACAAAUAAAUAUUCACGAACAUGAUCAAUCAUUCAGAGCGGGAUUCUAAAAUUGAUCACUGAAAUUGUUCGGCCACCCAGCUAUUAGUGAUUAUACAGCCGAGCUAGCUCAUUGCAGUGGGUGGCAUAACCAGCGGUUACAAGUUCUUUUCUCUCAUAUUUGCCUCUCCAUUUUUCAUUUUUUUAUUUCCAAAUAGAUCUACAAUGUUAUUUGAAUUUUAAAAAUAAUAGGUAGGGCACUCCUUACAUACAUGACCUCCUAGGCCAUUUAAAACAAAUAUGCAUUGUUUGGGGUUUUUUAUAUAACAUAAAGUAAGUUAACUAUGACACACUGCCAAAAUAUUUUUGCAUAAAAAACAUUAAAUUUGAUAUAGCACAGAAAGAACGUGGAUAUCCAGCAAGAGAUUAAAGAAGGCAAAGUGGGGCAGGCAGUCAGCAAAACAAAACUAGUGGAUCACGAGUUUCAAACUUUUACUAGCUUUAAGCAACUGAAAUAACUUGCCACUGAACCUAGUGAGCCAACAACUCUAACGUGUAAUAGCAAACAAGUAAUAAUUCUUUUGAAGCUCCAGAAUAAUCAAAACUGAGUCUAGAAUCAAGCUAGAAUGCCCAUUUGAGUUCACUGGUGAUGUUAGAGUGAUACUUAGUUCAAGGAGUAUAUCCAGAUACCCCAAUCAAAAAAAUCAUCUGAAGCCAUGCGAACAAACUGAUGGCACUUCUAGAAUAGUGUCUUUCCACAAAAUUAGUUAGAUAAGCCUAUGUAAUCCCAAAAUUUAUAAAAUGCUCCCGUUCCAUCCAAGAUGAACGUAAACAUUCCUGCACAACGAUUGGCAACAAUCCUCAACCCAACAGCCUUCAUCACCAUCCUAUGAUGCUAUCUAACACUCAAUAGUUCUAGCAAAACCAAAAUCAGAUGGUCUGUUUUGCUCAAUGAAUUACUUAUUAUCAUUACCAACCCGUGUGGCAGGUUGAUAUGGCAUAGACUAAAUAGUAUGAUUCAUAAACAGGCUUAAAAUAAUGCAAUACUGAGUUCUUUACCAAAUCAAGCAUUGGCAUUUCAUGUUCCCUGGGUUUCCAUUCGUUCCAAAAACAAACAACUGUCUUGCUAGAGAAAAUCAUGCUCAGAAUUCAUAUAGUUGUGCUUCAUUUAUGCAAGAAUCAAGACGAUUCAUGAGUUUAGCAAGUAGUUAAGCAUCUAGCAAACUGAUUGAUACUUAAAGCCCCCAUUUUCUUUUUUUCUUUUUUGUCAAAAUUCACUUGUAGCAACGCACAAGCGGAACUAAGCAUUCGAAAGUGUAUAUCCUAUUGAACCAAAAGUUGCAAUCACGAGCUGCUCACUCACCAUCUGUAUCGCAUGAAGUGGCCAUCAACAGGCGCGGCCUCAGGCACGUCGUCGGUGGAGAUUACACCGUUGGGCAGCCGCAGCAGCACGUACGGGGUGAUUUCGCACCCCACGAUCGGGAUCUCCGACGGCAGGUGCACCCGCACC